CUUCAACUGUACUCAUCAAUGCCAUUGGAUGAAUCACGGAACAUAUUCCAGUCUGUGCUAGCAAAACUGUCCUGUAGCAUAUCAUCCGAGUCAUCUCACCACUUCCGUAUUAAUCAGGAGGAUAGAAUUAUCGUCAGAUUUUCCAAAUGGAGGGCCAGGGAGAGCUUUGUACGCAUCUCUGUGUGUGGAGUAAAGGUGCUCUAGAGUUUUUUGUUGUUGCUCUGUUUGCACAUGUGACAUGCUGGUAGAAAUUAGGUAAAACUGAUUUAAGUUUGCUUGCAAUAAUGUCCCUGGCCACUAGGAGCGCCGCUUCUGGGUGAGCAUUUUCUUGUUUGCUUAUGGCCUUGUACAGCUCGUUGAGUGUGGUCUUAGUGCCUGCAUCGGUUUGUAGUGGUAAAUGGAUGGCUACGAAAGAUAUAGAUGAAAACUCUCUUGGUAGAUAGUGUGGUCUACAGCAUAUCAUGAGGUACUCUACCUCAGGCGAGCAAUACCUCGAGACUACCUUAAUAUUAUACAUCACGCACCAGCUGUUAUUGGUGGCCCCUCACUUCUCCUCCUGCACACGCUCAGACAUGGCGUGGCAGAGGGUGUGCUGAAAGCUGUUGGAGAACAUCCCGAAGUGCUGGGUGGGAUGGUGCAAGCUGUCAGCAGGUAAGGGAAGGGAAGGGGAGAUAGCUAGAGGUUAUAAAAUGGUUUCAAAUUGUCUGUAUCUUUGUCCCAUCUUUGUCUCUCAUAAGGUAAGUGUUAUUUUUCCUCUAGGCCUGACAGAGGUCCAAGGAUCAUGGGGAACCUGGUGUUGAAGAACAAAAAGGCCUGGUUUGUCACCUAUAAACUGCUCCAAUACAAGUAUGAGGUGCUGCAGUCGCUGUGCCAGGCCUGGAGCAGUAGCUCUAUGUGACCCGGGCUCUGCUGCUGUGUGUGGGACUACUGAGUAAUGCAGAGUUACAGGUGUUACGCUCAGGUACACCCCCAACACUAUGGCACAGUAUUGUGUCACACGAUCAGAGCUGUUCACACUACUUUCUGACCUGUCUGCCUCCGGGUUGUAUUUAAUGUACAGUGUACAAAUCAUGCACAAUUUUGACAAGGUGGUAGAUACUGAAUUUAUACUGUUUUCCAAGGUAUGUGUCGCUUUUUCACAUUUGUUAAUUGGUUUUGCAAGAGUUUGUUGGUCGGUUCAUUCGUUUUCCAAUAUGUUGAUUCCAUUGGUUAAAAAAGUAAGAAUAGCAUGCAAUGUCCAACCAAAAAUAUAAGCUUGUUUUACUCCAUUGUUUGUAAACAGUAUAAUUUGACCAUUUUUUUUAUUUUGGUUGCAUAAAUAAUGAUUACCAAAUAUUACAAUGAAUGUAAAUAUGAAAUAUCAAAACCGAAUGGAAACCCCUUUGUUAUUGGCAAUAAUUAAACUUAAUGGUGAGACAUGGAAUAGUAAAAAAAAGUGUAUUUUGUAACGCUGGAUGUUUGAAAUAUGAGUAGGUGAUUUGAGUCAUGCUUCUUCAGUAGUGGAAUACAUUAGCACAUGAAUGUUGUAAACAAAUAUUGUGUGUAAAUACUGGAGUGAUGUAUGAUUGUUAAUAAAACAUUUCAUAGACCAA
This is a non-coding RNA of Salmo salar (Atlantic salmon), 1592 nucleotides long. Lineage: Eukaryota; Metazoa; Chordata; Actinopteri; Salmoniformes; Salmonidae. The record is from RefSeq and is a predicted model, not a curated record.